GGAGCAACCUGGAGCCCAUUCCCCUCAAGGGUCUACGAGAUGUUCACUAUAAUUGUUGUAGUCGUCUCAAUAAGGUUUCAGUAAGUGGUUCUUCACAAAAACAUGGGCUAACACAAAAGGGAGUCUUGCACAGCUCUCAUGUACUUGAACCACAGGCCAUGUAUCAUUGCUGGGAGAAUGUGGGACUGGUAUAACAGUAUUCUUCCUCACAUAAAGCAGCGAUAAGGUCAUUACAACAGACAUAGAGAUUCCAAGCUCCUCUUAAUGGU
Xyrauchen texanus (razorback sucker) is the source of this 269-nucleotide long non-coding RNA. RefSeq lists it as uncharacterized. Lineage: Eukaryota; Metazoa; Chordata; Actinopteri; Cypriniformes; Catostomidae. The transcript is spliced from 3 exons. The record is from RefSeq and is a predicted model, not a curated record.